RNAcentral lists this long non-coding RNA (417 nucleotides) under Pongo abelii (Sumatran orangutan). Its description in RNAcentral is "lincRNA". The stretch from base 185 to 274 matches the Rfam family "Metastasis associated lung adenocarcinoma transcript 1". The record is from RNAcentral. Lineage: Eukaryota; Metazoa; Chordata; Mammalia; Primates; Hominidae.
UAAAGGCAGAAAAGAUUAUAUGUCAUACCUCCAUUGGGGAAUAAGCAUAACCCUGAGAUUCUUACUACUGAUGAGAACAUAUCUGCAUAUGCCAAAAAAUUUUAAGCAAAUGAAAGCUACCAAUUUAAAGUUAUGGAAUCUACCAUUUUAAAGUUAAUUGCUUGUCAAGCUAUAACCACAAAAAUAAUGAUGAGAAAUACAAUGAAGAGCCAAUGUCCAUCUCAAAAUACUGCUUUUACAAAAGCAGAAUAAAAGCGAAAUGAAAUGAAAAUGUUACACUACAUAAUCCUGGAAUAAAAGAAGCCGAAAUAAAUGAGAGAUGAGUUGGGAUCAAGUGGAUUGAGGAGGCUGUGCUGUGUGCCAAUGUUUCGUUUGCCUCAGACAGAAACUUUGUCUGCGAACACUCUUUAAUGGACC